AUUGAACGCUGGCGGCAGGCCUAACACAUGCAAGUCGAGCGAGCGGCGGACGGGUGAGUAAUGUAUGGGGACUGCCCGAUCGAGGGGGAUAACUACUGGAAACGGUGGCUAAUACCGCAUACUAUCGGAUAACCCAUAUGGGAUUAGCUAGUAGGUGGGGUAAAGGCUCACAUAGGCGACGAUCGCUAGCUGGUCUGAGAGGAAGCCCAGCCAUACGGGGAGUGAGACGAGGGCCAGACUACUACGGAGGCAGCAGUGGGGAAUAUUGCACAAGGGGCGCAAGGCUGAUGCAGCCAUGCCGUGUGUAUGAAGAAGGCCUUAGGGUUGUAAAGUACGUUCAGCGGGGAGGCGUUACCCGCAGAAGAAGCACCGGCUAACUCCGUGCCAGCAGCCGCGGUAAUUC
Molecule: ribosomal RNA, 403 nt
Filed under: uncultured bacterium
Lineage: Bacteria
Description: partial 16S ribosomal RNA
Rfam family: Bacterial small subunit ribosomal RNA
Source: RNAcentral